Molecule: ribosomal RNA, 495 nt
Filed under: uncultured bacterium
Lineage: Bacteria
Description: partial 16S ribosomal RNA
Rfam family: Bacterial small subunit ribosomal RNA
Source: RNAcentral
GACGAACGCUGGCGGCGUGCCUAAUACAUGCAAGUAGAACGCUGAGGGAGGAGCUUGCUUCUCUGGAUGAGUUGCGAACGGGUGAGUAACGCGUAGGUAACCUGCCUGGUAGCGGGGGAUAACUAUUGGAAACGAUAGCUAAUACCGCAUAAUAUUGACUAUUGCAUGAUAGUCAGUUGAAAGGUGCAACUGCACCACUACCAGAUGGACCUGCGUUGUAUUAGCUAGUUGGUGGGGUAACGGCUCACCAAGGCGACGAUACAUAGCCGACCUGAGAGGGUGAUCGGCCACACUGGGACUGAGACACGGCCCAGACUCCUACGGGAGGCAGCAGUAGGGAAUCUUCGGCAAUGGACGGAAGUCUGACCGAGCAACGCCGCGUGAGUGGAGAAGGUUUUCGGAUCGUAAAGCUCUGUUGUAAGAGAAGAACGAGUGUGAGAGUGGAAAGCUCACACUGUGACGGUAUCUUACCAGAAAGGGACGGCUAACUACGUG